Molecule: ribosomal RNA, 645 nt
Filed under: Triticum aestivum (bread wheat)
Lineage: Eukaryota; Viridiplantae; Streptophyta; Magnoliopsida; Poales; Poaceae
Description: partial small subunit ribosomal RNA
Source: RNAcentral
AUGACAAUCCUCAGCUGGAACUGUCGGGGUCUGGGGCAGCCUCGCACAGUUCAAGAACUCGUGUGCCUAGUGCAUACGUAUAAGCCCAAGCUCGUCUUCCUCCCUGAGACACGGCAAAGCAAUAAGUAUGUCAGCAACCUCAAGUGGAGGCUAGGCCUCCGCCAUUGUAUCACGCAACCCGGCAUCAGAAAAGGUGCCGGCAUUGCGCUCUUUUAUGAUGAGAAUGUCGAAAUAAAGAAAAUUGCCGUAGGGGCGAGAUACAUCGAUGUGUUAAUUCGCCUAAAUCCGAAUGGGCUCCAAUGGCGUGGUACUUUUGUCUAUGGUGAACCAAAAGCACAUGAGCGACACCUGAUGUGGACUUUGUUGAGAAGAAUCAAGGACACUAGUAAGCUCCCAUGGUUGAUGAUGGGAGACUUCAACGAAACUAUGUGGCAGUCAGAACAUUAUUCAGCAUCAAAGAAAUCGGAAAGAUAUAUGGAAAAUUUUCGCAAUGUUCUCUCCGAUUGCAACCUUUCCGAUUUGGGUUUCAAAGGACCGGGGGGACGUAUAACAACAAACAGAAGGGCGCAGACAAUGUACGUGCUAGAUUGGACAGGAGUGUGGCUUCCCCGGAGUGGUCUGACUACUUCAAAAAUGCAUCUCUAG